GAUGAAGAACGCAGCGAAAUGCGAUAAGUAAUGUGAAUUGCAGAAUUCAGUGAAUCAUCGAAUCUUUGAACGCACAUUGCGCCCGCCAGUAUUCUGGCGGGCAUGCCUGUUCGAGCGUCAUUUCAACCCUCAGGGCCCUUUUGGACCUGGCGUUGGGGCUCGGCCGCUACCCUGCGGCCGUCCCCGAAAGAUAGUGGCGGUCUCGCUGUAGCCUCCUCUGCGUAGUAGUUACAUCUCGCACUGGAACGCGGCGCGGCCAUGCCGUUAAACACCCCACUUCGCAAGGUUGACCUCGGAUCAGGUAGGAAUACCCGCUGAACUUAAGCAUAUCAAUAAGCGGAGGA
RNAcentral lists this unclassified non-coding RNA (344 nucleotides) under soil metagenome. Its description in RNAcentral is "partial contains 5.8S ribosomal RNA, internal transcribed spacer 2, and large subunit ribosomal RNA". The stretch from base 1 to 120 matches the Rfam family "5.8S ribosomal RNA", at positions 35 to 154 of the family's 154-position model. The record is from RNAcentral.